RNAcentral lists this long non-coding RNA (1169 nucleotides) under Gallus gallus (chicken). The record is from RNAcentral. Lineage: Eukaryota; Metazoa; Chordata; Aves; Galliformes; Phasianidae.
UCCGGUUGCAUCAGGUAACGUUUCUUGACUCAGACGCAAAGAUUUUGCUUUCCACGUUUCCAGUUCAGUUUGUAAAUUCUCCAGCUCUUUCAGUUGCUCACUUAUAAGCACAAUAUCCAGCUCAGCCACUUCAUUUUUCAACUCAUUGACCUUUUGUUCCUCCUCAAAAUAAUCAGUGUUUGCUUGCACUCCAGGAAGUAGUUCCUUCUCAUCAACUCCUGCUGCACCUUCUUUCUCAUGUGUAGAAACUGAGGGGUCAGAUUCCAGACCAUCUGUCUCAGCUGUUACAGGCUUCAGGAUUUGACUCUUCAGGCACACACUCUGUUGAACCUGAUCCUCAUCCUCUCUGUAGGAUUGAUUCUUGACAUCAGCAGGUUUCUCUUUUUGCUUCACUGGACUUGUUUCCCUUCUUAUUUCAUCACUUCCAGCACCAACAUCAUCCUGACGCCUUUCCAGUUCUGCUCUGUCCAGAAGGUUCUCUUGGACUCCAUCACAUGUGUCCAUACCUGGGCUCUCUUUAUCAGCUUCCUCCUGCUGAGCAGUUUGGCUGUAUCUGUCCUUUCCUUGAUGGAUACUCUGUAAUGGGCUGUCUGACAACACACUGCUUUCUUCCAAAAGCAAACCAUUUUGCUUCUCUUUCUCUGAUACACUCCCAAUUACAACUUGACCAUUAUGCAUUUCCAAACACUCCCUUAACUCUGCUGUUGUGGUGCCCUCUUCUGCAGCAAUAGGAGUAUCUGAAGUGAUCUGCAUCUCCCUUUUUAGCAUUCUAUCUGUCUUAUUCUCCAUCUGUAUUCCAUCCAUGAGAUCAUCUUUUAACUCAAGGGCUUCACUGAAAAUAUUUUCUUUCUUUUGCUUGACAUUUUCAAGUUUUUCUUCAAGACUCCUAUGUUCACUCUGAAGUGUUUCAAUCUCAUCCUCAAUAUACUUCUGUCCUAGUGAAGAAGUGUUUUGUUUAACGGUUUCUGCUAAACCCAAAAUCUUCUUUAACAUGUCUUCAAGUUGACAAAGAGGUGCUUGUUGUUCCUGUGAUUUCAAUUGUUUUUGCUCAGUGGAUGGUUGUUCCACUGCUGGACUCACACAAUCAGCAAGUUUUUUGGAAACAGUUUUUAGUUCUGUGCUCAAGGCUGUUACCAUAUCCUGAAACUGCUGGUGCUCUUGAACAUGUC